RNAcentral lists this ribosomal RNA (253 nucleotides) under uncultured bacterium. Its description in RNAcentral is "partial 16S ribosomal RNA". It matches the Rfam family "Bacterial small subunit ribosomal RNA", at positions 524 to 776 of the family's 1533-position model. The record is from RNAcentral.
UACGGAGGGGGCUAGCGUUGUUCGGAAUUACUGGGCGUAAAGCGUACGCAGGCGGCUUUGCAAGACAGGUGUGAAAUCCCCGGGCCUAACCUGGGAACUGCAUUUGUGACUGCAUGGCUAGAGUUUGUCAGAGGGGGGUGGAAUUCCACGUGUAGCAGUGAAAUGCGUAGAGAUGUGGAGGAACACCGAUGGCGAAGGCAGCCCCCUGGGUCAAGAUUGACGCUCAUGCACGAAAGCGUGGGGAGCAAACAGG